Molecule: small nucleolar RNA, 84 nt
Organism: Trichomycterus rosablanca
Lineage: Eukaryota; Metazoa; Chordata; Actinopteri; Siluriformes; Trichomycteridae
Product: small nucleolar RNA SNORD11B
Exons: 1
Source: RefSeq, a predicted model, not a curated record
UGCAAGCGGUGAUUAUAAUGACGUUAUGUCACAGUCCUGAAUACUCCAUGUGGCUUUUUUGUCACUACCUCAUCUGAGCUUGUG